UACGUAGGGUGCGAGCGUUAAUCGGAAUUACUGGGCGUAAAGCGUGCGCAGGCGGUUUUGUAAGCCAGGUGUGAAAUCCCCGGGCUCAACCUGGGAAUGGCAUUUGGGACUGCAAGGCUGGAGUGCGGCAGAGGAGACUGGAAUUCCUGGUGUAGCAGUGAAAUGCGUAGAUAUCAGGAGGAAUACCGAUGGCGAAGGCAGGUCUCUGGGCUGACACUGACGCUCAUGCACGAAAGCGUGGGGAGCGAACAGG
Molecule: ribosomal RNA, 253 nt
Filed under: uncultured bacterium
Lineage: Bacteria
Description: partial 16S ribosomal RNA
Rfam family: Bacterial small subunit ribosomal RNA
Source: RNAcentral